GACAGAGGGUGCAAACGUUGUUCGGAAUUACUGGGCGUAAAGCGUGUGUAGGCGGCCCGGUAAGUCCGCUGUGAAAGUCGGGGGCUCAACCCUCGAAUGCCGGUGGAUACUGUCGGGCUAGAGUGCGGAAGAGGCGAGUGGAAUUCCUGGUGUAGCGGUGAAAUGCGCAGAUAUCAGGAGGAACACCAAUUGCGAAGGCAGCUCGCUGGGACGUAACUGACGCUGAGACGCGAAAGCGUGGGGAGCAAACAGG
RNAcentral lists this ribosomal RNA (253 nucleotides) under uncultured bacterium. Its description in RNAcentral is "partial 16S ribosomal RNA". It matches the Rfam family "Bacterial small subunit ribosomal RNA", at positions 524 to 776 of the family's 1533-position model. The record is from RNAcentral.